This 464-nucleotide ribosomal RNA is filed under the name uncultured Bacteroidota bacterium. RNAcentral describes it as "bacterial SSU rRNA". It matches the Rfam family "Bacterial small subunit ribosomal RNA", at positions 340 to 801 of the family's 1533-position model. Lineage: Bacteria; Pseudomonadati; Bacteroidota. The record is from RNAcentral.
UACGGGAGGCAGCAGUGAGGAAUAUUGGUCAAUGGAGGCAACUCUGAACCAGCUAUGCCGCGUGCAGGACGACUGCCCUAUGGGUUGUAAACUGCUUUUAUACAGGAAGAAACUUAUCUACGUGUAAAUCCUUGACGGUACUGUAAGAAUAAGGACCGGCUAACUCCGUGCCAGCAGCCGCGGUAAUACGGAGGGUCCAAGCGUUAUCCGGAAUCAUUGGGUUUAAAGGGUCCGCAGGCGGUCAAUUAAGUCAGAGGUGAAAUCCCAUCGCUCAACGAUGGAACUGCCUUUGAUACUGGUUGACUUGAGUUAUAGGGAAGUAGAUAGAAUAAGUAGUGUAGCGGUGAAAUGCAUAGAUAUUACUUAGAAUACCGAUUGCGAAGGCAGUCUACUACGUAUAUACUGACGCUCAUGGACGAAAGCGUGGGGAGCGAACAGGAUUAGAUACCCUGGUAGUCCACGCC